GGGGACCCGCAAGCGGUGGAUGAUGUGGAUUAAUUCGAUGCAACGCGAAAAACCUUACCUACCCUUGACAUGUACGGAAGCCUGAAGAGAUUCGGGUGUGCUCGAAAGAGAGCCGUAACACAGGUGCUGCAUGGCUGUCGUCAGCUCGUGUCGUGAGAUGUUGGGUUAAGUCCCGCAACGAGCGCAACCCUUGUCAUUAGUUGCUACGAAAGGGCACUCUGAUGAGACUGCCGGUGACAAACCGGAGGAAGGUGGGGAUGACGUCAAGUCCUCAUGGCCCUUAUGGGUAGGGCUUCACACGUCAUACAAUGGUACAUACAGAGGGCCGCCAACCCGCGAGGGGGAGCUAAUCCCAGAAAGUGUAUCGUAGUCCGGAUCGCAGUCUGCAACUCGACUGCGUGAAGUUGGAAUCGCUAGUAAUCGCGGAUCAGCAUGUCGCGGUGAAUACGUUCCCGGGGUCUUGUACACACC
Molecule: ribosomal RNA, 471 nt
Filed under: uncultured bacterium
Lineage: Bacteria
Description: bacterial SSU rRNA
Rfam family: Bacterial small subunit ribosomal RNA
Source: RNAcentral